AGCAGCAGCCGCGGUAAUACGAAGGGUGCAAGCGUUAAUCGGAAUUACUGGGCGUAAAGCGUGCGUAGGCGGUGAGUUAAGUCUGCUGUGAAAUCCCCGGGCUCAACCUGGGAAUGGCAGUGGAUACUGGCUCGCUAGAGUGUGUCAGAGGAUGGUGGAAUUCCCGGUGUAGCGGUGAAAUGCGUAGAGAUCGGGAGGAACAUCAGUGGCGAAGGCGGCCAUCUGGGACAACACUGACGCUGAGGCACGAAAGCGUGGGGAGCAAACAGGAUUAGAUACCCCCGUAGUCCCUGUCUCUUAUAC
RNAcentral lists this ribosomal RNA (303 nucleotides) under uncultured bacterium. RNAcentral describes it as "partial 16S ribosomal RNA". It matches the Rfam family "Bacterial small subunit ribosomal RNA", at positions 507 to 807 of the family's 1533-position model. The record is from RNAcentral.